This 203-nucleotide ribosomal RNA is filed under the name uncultured bacterium. RNAcentral's name for it is "partial 16S ribosomal RNA". It matches the Rfam family "Bacterial small subunit ribosomal RNA", at positions 134 to 334 of the family's 1533-position model. The record is from RNAcentral.
UACAGAGGGAUAAUCAUGUGAAAACGUGACUAAUACCGCAUGUCAUUUGUUUGAAGGCAUCUUCGACAAAGAAAAGGAGCAAUCCGGUAUGAGAUGGGCCCGCAUCUGAUUAGCUAGUUGGUGAGAUAACAGCCCACCAAGGCGACGAUCAGUAGCCGACCUGAGAGGGUGAUCGGCCACAUUGGGACUGAGACACGGCCCAA